CCUACGGGUGGCUGCAGUGAGGAAUAUUGGACAAUGGGUGAAAGCCUGAUCCAGCCAUCCCGCGUGAAGGAUGACGGCCCUAUGGGUUGUAAACUUCUUUUGUACAGGAAUAAACCUAGAUACGCGUAUCUAGCUGAAGGUACUGUACGAAUAAGCACCGGCUAACUCCGUGCCAGCAGCCGCGGUCAUACGGAGGGUGCAAGCGUUAUCCGGAUUUAUUGGGUUGAAGGGGUACGUGUAAGUCAGUGGUGAAAUCUCGCAGCUUAACUGUGAAACUGCCAUUGAUACUGCAGGUCUUGAGUGAAUUUGAGGUAGCUGGAAUAAGUAGUGUAGCGGUGAAAUGCAUAGAUAUUACUUAGAACACCAAUUGCGAAGGCAGGUUACCAAGAUUCAACUGACGCUGAGGGACGAAAGCGUGGGGAGCGAACAGGAUUAGAUACCCUAGUAGUC
Molecule: ribosomal RNA, 450 nt
Filed under: uncultured bacterium
Lineage: Bacteria
Description: partial 16S ribosomal RNA
Rfam family: Bacterial small subunit ribosomal RNA
Source: RNAcentral